Long non-coding RNA from Armigeres subalbatus, 488 nucleotides. RefSeq lists it as uncharacterized. The record is from RefSeq and is a predicted model, not a curated record. The transcript has 3 exons. Lineage: Eukaryota; Metazoa; Arthropoda; Insecta; Diptera; Culicidae.
GGAAUGAAAAAAUGAAACUGAUGUUGUGGUGCAGGAAGUGUCCCUUCAUAACGGAUUGUAGAAGUGGGCAAGCGGCGGAUCAUAGGCUGCUGUAUCGUGGAGGAAGUUUAUGGUAAGACUACGUAAGACAGACUAUCGUUCGGCAGCUAUUAUUGGCCUAUCUUACCAAUUAGAUACAAUAAUAGCUGAUAUAGGUUCACACAUAACCUGAUGUGUUAGAGACAACGACUAACUUCGAUUCACCCACUCAAGAAAAAACAAGUAGUAUAUAAGUCUUAUAGGAGAUAUAUCAAACUCCCUUUCCUAUGGUGGCUGGUGCAUCAGUGACUAAGCAACAGCAAAGCGCCAAACAGCAAUACUAACAUAUUCAAUUUUGGAUUGAAUGAAAACUAAUUUGAAAUCGAUCAAAAACUGAAUUAAAACAAAAUUUAAAUUGAAUUCAAAUGAAAUUGAAAUAUAAUUGAAAUAAAUUGGAAUUAAAUUCAAAU